Acanthosepion pharaonis is the source of this 113-nucleotide non-coding RNA. The record is from the annotation of a GenBank genome assembly. NCBI's taxonomy places the organism in Eukaryota, Metazoa, Mollusca, Cephalopoda, Sepiida, Sepiidae.
UAUGGCCACAUCACAUUGAAACAACGUUUCUUGUAUGAUCACCAAAGUUAAGCAACAUUGAGCCUGAUCAGUACCUCGAUGGGUGACCACCUGGGAAUAUCAAGUACUGUAAG